Molecule: non-coding RNA, 73 nt
Organism: Danio rerio (zebrafish)
Lineage: Eukaryota; Metazoa; Chordata; Actinopteri; Cypriniformes; Danionidae
Source: Rfam
GCUUGGCUAGCUCAGUCGGUAGAGCAUGAGACUCUUAAUCUCAGGAUUGUGGGUUCGAACCCCAUGUUGGGCG